Long non-coding RNA from Poecilia latipinna (sailfin molly), 3290 nucleotides. RefSeq lists it as uncharacterized. The transcript is spliced from 2 exons. NCBI's taxonomy places the organism in Eukaryota, Metazoa, Chordata, Actinopteri, Cyprinodontiformes, Poeciliidae. The record is from RefSeq and is a predicted model, not a curated record.
ACUGCUUUGUUUUUUUAUGUUGUCAGUUAUACAUUUUCUCUUGUUGUAUAGCAAAAGGUAUCAAUGUGUCAUGAAGGCCAGGGCUUAACCUGAAAUGUUCUCUUGAUUUGGUAGUGCCUUAUUGGAUCACAACAUAACUACAGCUGGACUACAUAAGUCAAGACUUACAAAAAUGAACUAAAACAGACCAAGAUAUGUCAGAGGCUGCUGAGCUUAUCUAUGCUGGUAGACGAUCUCUUUUUCCCCUCGUCUGAGGUGGCGCUACACCAAGAACAACUUCAGGAACUGACAAGAAGACCUAUGAAGAAGACACUGGAAGAGUGAGAUUGUAGCAGUUGUAGGAUUUCUCUUUUGUUUUUGACUAAAGACCACGAGCCGUUUCUCCUGCUAGUUCUAGACACACAUGUUUGUUAUGGUUUUAUUUACCCAGAAUACCCUGCAGUGUAGUCAAUUUCCUGCUUUUGGAGCGGUCUCCGAUUGACUUGGCAUUCACAUAUGCUUUUGAACCGCACCAUAGUUUACUUCAACUGAAUCAAGACCUAGGUAGAAUGAACCCUUAGAUUUAGAAGAUUUACAUACAACUAUUGAUUUUGUGGACUUGACGUUAGGUUGCACUACAGGGGAAGUCGGUAGAGAGAGUGAUGUUUUGGUCAGGUAAUUCAUGUAAAAGAUUUUUUGACACCCAUCUGAAGCGAUAAAAUCCCUCAUGGACCAUGUUUGUAUGAACACCUGUUCAUUUGACAGAGAGAGACACUCAGGCCAUUGGGGCAACUAGUGAGAAAUUGUGCAUCAGAGUGGAGAAAAAAAGGGGACAUCAGUGAUGGCAGGGAGAUGCUCACAACACAUUGAAAGCUGAUAGACUGCAGCAGCAGACCCUACUGACUAACAGGUUUGUCAGUUUGGAGUCGGUGAAGCCCUAGUUUGGGGGAAUGUUUCCAACACUUGGUUGAGUCUAUGGCACAAAUAAGGAGAAUCUCAUGAGGUGUCCAGUGAGCAUAAUUUCUUUAUCAACUCUGGUGAUUCCCAGUACCAGAGGUGUUUUUAUAGUUGGGUAAUGUUGCCCUUUAACACAAGUUUUCUGAAACACUGAUGGAUGUUUAGCUCCUCUCAAUUUCUCCAGUUCUGCUCAGCUGUGAGUAUGGGGAAGUUGAGAUGAAACAAAAGAAGUCCCCACCUGGUGUUUUGGGGUAUGAAAACAUCUCCUUGGUGUGGGAUGACAUGCAGGGUCCUGUUAGAUCCAGUAUAGUCUGUACUUGCAGAUCAGGAAGUUUUGCAGCACAGUUGGGACAAAAUCAAUAUUAGAAAGAUGUUAUUGAACGUGUCUGGUGUGUUUACUUGCUGUAUCUUAAAGCUUGAUUCCAUGAAGCCCCUGCCCUGAAGCUGUUCAUGAAAGGUGAAAAGUUUUGCAAAGUUGAGCUUGUUUGGAAGGAAACAAGCUCAACUAUCUGAAAGAUACAAAAUAUUACUAUCAAACUAUAGAUUGAAAACUCUUUAAAGAUGUAUAUUUUACAAUUGAAAUGUUUUGUUGGAUUUGAAUGGUUUUCACUAAUUUCUCUUUUUGAUGUUGUGGCUGCUCCUUUCAUGUCCCAACCUGUUCUCCAUUGUCUUUCUUCUGUUGAGCACCUCAGAUGCCCCGUUCUGCUUCCACGUUCAGUCUGAACGAAUCUACCACAAACAGUGCUGUGGUUCAGCGCUCUAACUCUUUGGAUCAUGCCCCUGUCAAACCUAGAAUCCCUGUUUGUAUCCGUAGCCCCUGCACUCCAGCCAAAAUACACUCUUCCUACAGCGCAUCAGACUCCUCUGGUGGUCCUGAACUCAAAUACAGCUCUGUCAUCCAAGAAUACAAGUCCACCUCUUAUUCUGUACCAAUGAUUCAACCCAAGUCAAUCCCACAGAAAUCCAUCUUCACACAAGCUGGUCAUGGCUCCCCUCAUCUUAAAAAUAUCCAACCACAGUCUGGCCAGGAUCUGGCCAGACGUCUUGCCUCUGGAGGUUUUCAGCCAAGAAGCCCAGGUCCUCAGCCUGUUACCUUGAAUACCAGGACCUUUUCUGAGUCAUGCCUGGAUCCUCAAGUGGAGCCACAGUCUGCUGUACUGACCAGUCCUCGCAGAGAGAUGCUGAUCUAAACCGCCGCUGAUGUUAUUCCUGCAGUCCCAUGCGCACCACUCCCCCUCCAUGGUCAACCUGCCAACCAUGUUUGAGAGGAAGUACCACACAUUCUCCCGGUCAUCCACCCAUCUCUUCUGAUAUGUCACUGGUUGGUGAACCAGCUUCCUCCACCACCAAGAUAAACUCAGAAAAUGUGUUUUCUGGUUAAAUCAGCAGUAGUCUCAGGGCCAACUCUUCCAUGUUUCCACUCUGAAGCUCUGGACAGUCUUUCCACAUGCAGGAAAUGUGACAGUAUUUUGGAGAAGGAAUCUGCAGAAAGGACAUACUGAUAUUUGCCAGUAUCAGAAUUGUCCUGUUUCCAUAGCAGAAUGAAGAUGAUGCACCAGUUGUUCUUCAUCCUGAUGCAGGUUCUGAAGCCCAGCCCAUGGAUGUGGCUGGUAUUAUGAACUCCUAGCUGAAAUGGCACGUUGUCAUGCUGAGGUUCACUGCACACUGAAAAAAGCAAUUUUGCUGAUGUCCUGCAUUAACAAGGACCACUUCUGUUCAUCUGAUUGGUCAGUUCACAGGUUGUUGACUCGCUGCUGUUAAAUAUCUUCCAUGACUAGCAUUACUUGCUUUGUUUGUUGACACAUUGAGAGUAGCUGUAGAGCGAGAGUACAUAUUGGUUCAUCUGUCCCUCAUUGUCUCUGGACUCUAACAUGUUUGCUAAUGUGAUUGUAAUUUCAAAGAUGAGGCUUUUUUUAACCAAUCAAUGUUCAGCUCUUCCUGUAAUAACAAAGUUUAAUUUUUCUCUCACUGACUUAAUUCCCUUUAAUAUUAGACAAACGUCUAAACUGACAUGUUUUUAGUGGGAAGAGGUGUUUUGACCUUUAACUUCAGCUCUUUUAUUUGACCAUUAUUUUCUGUAUGUAAACUGUCAUAGUUUACAGCUUAUAUAAAGCUGUAAUCACAAGGUUGGGAAGAAUAAAAGCAUUUUAGUCUGCUUCUAUGUACACCCAUUAUUGUCUGCAUUGUGUGUGCAUAGGGGUGUUGUAUCAGUGUACAUAUUUAUUUUUUCAUGAAUAGUUAGACUGUGGCCAAUCUUUUUACUGCUAUUUAUGUUCAUUCUGAUUUUGUCUGUCAUUAUGUUUUACUGUUUGUCACUUGUUAUUUUAUCUCUUUAUUAAAUGCACUUAAACUUG